Equus quagga is the source of this 7104-nucleotide long non-coding RNA. RefSeq lists it as uncharacterized. Lineage: Eukaryota; Metazoa; Chordata; Mammalia; Perissodactyla; Equidae. The transcript is spliced from 3 exons. The record is from RefSeq and is a predicted model, not a curated record.
ACAUAUUAUUAAACUUUGUUUGAUUUUCUCCUGUUAUUCUGAGUCAUGUCAGUUUAAUUCUUAAAUGAACCAGAAGAACCUAGAGGGUAGAGGAAUAGUUCUUCCUCCCCUAUAGGGGUAAGGUUUCAACACAAUAAUUUUAGGGGGACACAAACAUUCAGACCAUAACAAAGAUUCAAAUAAAUGGAGAGAUAUACUAUGUUCAUGGAUGGGAGGUUUAAUAUGAUUAAGAAUCCAUCAUCUGAAAAUUAAUGUAUUGCUUCAAUGCAAUCCCAAUCAAAAUUCCAGCAGGAUCUUUUGUAGGAUUCAAUGACCUGAUGCUAAAAUUCAUAUGGAAAUACAAUAACUUGGAAUAGCCAGAAGAAUUUAGAAGAUGAACAAAGUUGAAGAACUUUCACUACCUGAUUUAAAGACUGAUUAUAAAGCUAUAAUAAUCAUGACAGUGUGUUAUUGGUACAAAAAUAGACAACUCAAUGAAACCGAAUACAGAGUCUAAAAAUGAACUGCUGUGGUUUGAAUGUUUGUGCCUCCCCGAAAUUGAUAUGUUGAAACCUAACCCCCAAGGUGAUAGUAUUAGGAAGUAGGGUCUCUGGGAGGUGACUAGGUCAUGAAGCCAGAGCCAUCCUGAAUAGAAUUAGUGCCCUUAUAAAAGAGGCCUGAGAAAAUUCUCUUGCCCUUUGCAACCAUGUAAGGACCGAGUGAAAAGACAACCAUCUGGCCCUCUCCAGGUGUCAAAUAUGCCAGUACCUUGAUCUUGGACUUCCCAGCCUCCAGAACUGUGAGAAAUAAGUGUUUGUCAUUUAUAAGCCUGCCAGUCUAUUGCAAUCUGUUACAGUAGCCUGAGUGGACUAAGACAGAAAGUGGGACUGCUGUACCAAAAACAGAAAGUGGAAUGCUGCUGUAACAAAUAUCUAAAAAUGUGGAAGAUGCUUUGGAAUUGGGCAAUGGGUAGAGGCUUGAGAAGUUUGGAGGUGCAUGCUAGAAAAAGCCUAGGUUGCCAUGAAUGGACUGUUAAGGGAGAUUAUGGUGAGAAGUCAGAAAGAGAGAAGGAGACUGUAGAGAAAGCCUCAAUCUUCUUAGAGAAUACCUAAAUAAUCCUGAACAGAAUUUUGGUAGAAAUAUGGACGGUAAAGGCCGUUCUGAUGAGGCUUGUCAAAUGACAAAACUGAAACAAUUUAGUGGCAAGUUUGAUGUCCUUUAUCCAACAUAAAACAGUCCAUGGAUUGGGGAAGUCCAGUGUCUCACAAGCAGUGGGACACUGUUCCCAGGGAUUUGAGGUAGAUGGAGUUUUAUAGAAUGUUAGAAGAGGCAACUGAGAAAUGGCAUAAUUGGCUAGUAGGUCAGGGAUUUCCUUAUAAAACUAGCAGGUCUUAUUUUCUAGGGUCAGGUAAGCUAACUAAACAUGAUUUCGUGAAUGAUGGUUGGUGUAUGUUAGGUUUCCUUGACUGGUGUUUCCUGUAAGUGCAGGCUGACUUAGUUUUAGAUUUGUGAUAUGGGCAGGGUCACUGGGAAAGCCUCCAUUUUGUGGGUCCUGAUAUAUAAAUUAAGUUUAUCAGGUCGCAGAUGAAAGUAAAGAAUAUGUUAUUGGACAAUGGAGAAAAGGUGAUCCUUGUUAUAAAGUGGCAAAGAACUUGGCUCAAUUGUAUUCAUGUCCCAGUCUUUUGUGGAAGUGGGAAUUUGUGAGUGAUGAAACUGUCACUAAGGGAAAUCCCUAAAACAUUUUCCAUGUCUAAUUCUUUGUUUUUAAGUUUUGCUUGCUUAUAGGAACCAAGGCAGAACAUUGCCAGAUGGCCAAACUACAGAACCGUUCCAAACCAGAAAGGUCCAAGAUGGCAGUGUAAUGCCAUGCACAAAAGGAAAUGUGUGCAAAAGGUGCCGUGUACAAGAAGGGAAGACCUUUACAUGCCCCAGGUGACAAUGCGGAGACUCCUCCCACUUCACAUCCCAUAAGAACCCUGCUUACCUUCCCUUUGGGGAGAAGGUGUCUUAGAGCAGGAGCUCUGCCUCCUCCUUUUAUUGAUCAAUGAGUAACGUUUCUGCUCUGCUAUUCUGAACCUAGCCUUGUUCUAUUGGCUCAGGCGGCUCCAGGCAAAAGGACCCACUCGUAGGUCACCGGUCCCUCAAGGCUUGGUAACAAAACAUGCAACUCCACCAGGACUGGAAUCGUUGCUGGCUUCUCUCGUUGAUCCCAGCCUCCCCACUCCCAAAAGUUGAAGCAAUGGGCUGUGGAAGCAUGUCAGGCUGACUCACCUAUGUUUUUCGAGGCUUGUGAACCUAAGGGAAACCAGGACUGUCCUGCCUGGUGCUUGGUCACCAGACCCUCCCCACUGACGCUUGGAACCAGAAAUAGCAGCUGCACUUAGACUUUUGUCUUCUGCUGCUUCAUUGGAGUCAAGGGGGAUCUCCUACAAGCCAACAAAGUCUACCUUCAGUUUAGCAGCAGAACAGAGUGUGUGUGCACACACGGGACUGAGGGAGAAGAGGGGCUUCUCCCCAGGAAUGGACUGAGGGAGCCCCUCUCCCCAGGAAUGGUCUUAUCAGUCCUUUAAGAGAGUCCCUCUCCCAAGGACGGGUACCCAGUGCAUGAGAGAUGGACUGGGUGAGGGAUCAGGGAUACCUGAUCUCUCCAGGUUACAAUUGGGGGCGCCCAACCCUUGCAGCCAGAAUGCCUCCGUGGGAGGUUUUGAGGUGGCAACAGAAGGAGGUAAUGUUGACUCCAUUUGUAGGAUUCUCCACAGCUGGAUCAUGCUUUCUCCAAAACUCAAAAUGGGUAAAAGACUUAAAUAUAAGACCUGAAACCAUAAAACUCCUAGAAGAAAACAUGAGGCUUCCUCUAAUUGUUCGUGGUUUUGUCCUGGGGAGUGAAGCAAAUGUAAUCCGUCAUCUGUGGGGGCAGCUGCCCAGUAUUUGGAAAUAGCUGUAACACGUGCUGCUCUCCCUCCCUGAUGCUGUCGCCUACUCCACCAGCACUAUAGUCUCUUCUCAAGACAAGGGCUCUUCCGAGAAGUCCUCCUAUGUCAGCAUCUCCAGAACUCUUCUCAUCCUGGGUACAAUCUUCGGGAUUCAGUUGAGAAAAAGAGAUUCAAGGGAAAUUUAAUUCCAGAUUUUAAAUAUUAAGUUGAUUCACAUUCACUGUGCCUUUCCCAAACAUCCAAUCUAGAAGAGAACUUUCAUUAUAUUCUUUCAGGUUACCUUGUUCUAUUCCUUCAUAGCAUUUAUCAUACAACAUUUAUAUUAAUACAUUUAAUCAAAUUGUACUUAUUUAUUUAAUUUAAUUCAUGUUACAUUUUUAAACAAUUAAAUGUUUAUUUAAUAACAAUUAUACCUGUAAUAAUAUCUCUCUCUCCCACUGGUCUGUAAAUUCUAUGAGGCAGAAACUAUGUCUAUUUUGUUCACCACCUUAUUUCUUGCCCUCAGCAUAGUGCCCAACAGGUAGAUGUUAAUAAGUUUUUAUUUUGAUUUUCAGCUGGUGAAUAAAAUGAAAUUCACAUUAUGAACUUAAUUAAAGAAAGCAUAGUGGAAUUGUCUUCUUAUGUAGAAAAAGUUUCCUAGGAGAAAUGAGGUUUAAGAUGAAUUUUAAAGACAAGGUUUCCCGGAUUGAUAGAGAAAAACACUCCAGCACGUAGCACAUUAUCUAAUGUGGUGGAAAUGGAUAGCUGUCCACUAAGGUCCUCCUCCCCUUCUUCUUGGACACAUGGUUAAGCUACAUUUCCAAGCCUCCCUUCCUGUCAGUUAACUCCCUUGCUGCUAUCUAAGUUCUCACCAAUAAAAUAUGAAGGUAAGUGAUGGCUACCAUUCUGAGUUUCUGUCUUAGAAGUGGUUGUGUUUCCUCCUUCCCUUUUCUCUCUUCCUACUGACUGGAACCCAGACAGGGCUGUGACCCACUCUCAACAAUACAGAUAACAGCAAGGCCACAAGUGGCCUAUGCUCUACUUAUGGUGCUACACGUUAAAAGGAGCCUGGGUCCCUUUCUGACUGCCCAGAGCAGAGCUGUCCCACUCAAUUGGACUGUACAUCUUGCAUUAUUAUGUGGAAGAGAAAUAAACCUUUUUUCUCUUUAGGCCACAUUAUCAUUGGGUCUCUUCUUAUAACAAGUUACCCUGUGCUCUAACUAAGACAUCUGUCAUUUAGAAAAUGCUCAAUCAAUAUUUAUUAAAUUCACAGUAUAGAGAAUGGCAUAUGUGGCAUAGCUGAAAGAAUCUAGUCACAAAGAGAGGAGACAAGUGUGCUCAAAACAAGAAGCUAAUGAAAAGAGCGGUGAGAAAUUGACAAGGGUAAUAAAUUUUGGACAGUAGUUGAGACUAGUAUAAAGUAUAAAUUAUAGUAUAUUAUUACACCUGCAUGUACCUGCCCCUCAAAAUGAAUAAAUGUUAGCAUUUUGGGAAUUUACUUCAGAUUUUUUUCCUUUUUUUAAAGAAAUAACACCUUAUAAGUGAAAUUACAAUUCCCUAUAGUUACCCUCCCUGCAGAAGGCUUUUCGACAUGCCUCUUGAAAUAUGGCACCUACAGCUAAAAUCCAAAUAAGGCCUUAUUGUGAGAGUAAGUAUAGAGAGUCUGCUUCUCACUGCGAUCUGAACAGUAGAGUUCUAUUAACAGAGCCCAAGAUUGAAUUCUGUGUUUAAUAACUGCUUAAACACUGUUGCUUAUAUUAAACUUGAGAUUGACUAAAACUGUCUAGCCCUCUUUCACAGCAACCUCUACCACCAGUUGUCCCCUUUCUGUGCUGACAAACUUUGUGAAAUUGAAUACUAACACAAGUGCACCACCCAACAUUUACCACUUGUAAUCGUUACCCUACUGAUUUUGCUCUAUUGACGACAGAGCGUGACUUUCCUUCUUGUGAAUUUUUGGCAUCUAAUGGCUGACAUUGCUCACUUAUGAGCACUGAAAAAUUCCAGAUGGAUCCUAGAACUUCCAAUAUCCUGCAUUAGGAUGAUCACUGGGUCCUUUCCCAAAACCAGUCAUUAUAUCAGGCGGGGACAGGGUGCUUGGUGAAAGCAAGGUCCUGUUUUAGAUUUUUUGUUUUGUUUUGUUUUCUAUCUGAACAAGUUUCAUUUAAAAGUUGCUAGACAUUUUCUGCCACAACCAGUAGCAACAUCAAUUAUCCCUCGGAACAGAUUUCCUUUGUUUUGGAAAAAUUACAUGAAGGAACCCUUUAGUUAUGUUUCCCCCAAUUGUUCUGUGGAUUGUUCUGGGGCAGCAUGGAACAAGAGCUCUGUUUUGUUUUGCUUUUGUUUGCUUACAGGAGCAGAAUCAGUGAAAUUAGUGCUGAGAGAUUUCCAGGUGGUGUUAUUGGAUGAGAAAAGUGAGAUAUGCAGAGGUGUGUAUACUGUGAUUCUGUUUACGCAAAACAAAUGAAACGAAAACAUGUAUGUGUAUAAAUAUGCUUAUAAAUGAUUGUGAAUACAGAAAAAGUACAUUAGGCUUUACACCAGACUGAACACAGGGCGGUCUUGUGGUAUAAGAGAAAAGUAAGAACAGCGAAGGCAGGUAAAAAUGGAAAAAGACAUUUUUUAAAAAGAAGAAGAACACUAAAAAGCAACACUACCCAUGUGAUAUGAGUGAAAGAUUGGACUUUACUAAACCAGUUGUGUGGGGGCUCAAAGACGUUAUAUUUUGAGUACAAAAGGAAUGAGAUCUCAUUUUGUAGUCAAGACUUGUGAGUUUGGGGAACAUCUAUGUUGUACCAUGAAUAUCAAAAUACAAAAAAUAAAACCACGUAAACUAGAAGAAAGGCGAAGGAAAAACCCUUAUGAAAAAAGCAAGUGCAAAUUAUCUCAAGUGUUUUUGGUAAGAGAUUUUAAAAAUGCAGUUUGAGAGGGAACAGUUAAUAGUGCUUCAUCCUUAAAAACAAAGGAAAGAAAUGCUAACCAAAGCAGAUUGGAUUCCAGACAGUGGGAUAAAGUGGGUUGUGACUUGAGACUUCUCCUCCAUAAGUGUUAACCGUUUUAUAGAUGAUGAAGCCGAGUCUUGGAAAGUUUCAACAGCUUUCCUGAGAUUACUGUGGUUGAAUUUGAGCCUGUUUCCAUAAUUCCAAAACCCACGUACUUCUCACUAUAGAAUGACACAUCUGUGCUAGAUUUGGAAUCCAUGCAGGAAUGUGACAUCCAUAUUUGCAUUUGUCCUGGCGGUCUAUGUUACACUCCACAGUGUGUCACCUAGUUUCUCUCUCCUUUUGUACUAAUUCAAAUGUUCUUUAUGUUUCCAUGCUCCAAUGUGUAGAUCCUUACUAAGUUUUUUUUGGGCUCUACAAACCUACGCAAUUUGCACGUAUCUUCAUCUCUCUGACCUGCUCUCCUUUCUUACUGCACUCCAGUCACUCUGGCCUCCUUGUUUUUCCUCAAGCACAAUAAGCACGUUUGCACUUGCUAUUUCCUCUACGUGGAACAUUCUUCCAUCACAUAUCCACUUACCUUGCUCUCUUCCUAGUGAACCCUUUCUAGACCAACUUACUUAAAAUUAUAAUCUCUGUGGCCAAUCUGACUCUUUCUAACCCUAUCUCCUGUUUUAUCUUUUUCUAUCACACUCAUAAUCAUUUAAUAAUUUUGAUGCUAACUUAUUUAUUUUGUUUGAUUCCUACUACAAGAAUUUAAGCUUCAUAGGUGUGUGCUGAGCAUCUGAAAUAGUGCCUAGAACGCAGUGUGUAGAACAUAUGAAUAACUACAUUGCUGUACUCCUUUCCAACCUUCAGGGCUGACAGUAUGGUGUUCAUAAGAAAUGUCUUUUAAUCACUACAUUCUGAUCAUGCAGCUCAUCCUACCAUUUCUAUGAUUUCUAGAGAUAAAAACAGAAGGGAAAGGUUACAGGUGAGAAAAGAGAAUUAAUAACAUUGUUGAAGAAAUUGCAAUUGUAUAACUUGAAAAUAUAAUUUUUAUCUAUUCUCAUACUUCACACAAAAAUUAAUCUAGGUAGAUUAUAUACAUAACACUUUUAAAUGGGGCAAAGCCACAGAAAAUAGACCUUGUCCAUAAAGGGGCAAUAAACAAUAUCUAGCCUGCAAAAAUAAAUCAAGCAUAUUUAUGAUAAAAAAGUUAAGAUUUUAGUAGAUGAAUAGACAGAUGUGAAUAGACAAUGUACAUAAUGGAUACACAACUUGUAAACAAA